RNAcentral lists this ribosomal RNA (707 nucleotides) under Marasmius capillaris. RNAcentral's name for it is "eukaryotic LSU rRNA". The stretch from base 259 to 412 matches the Rfam family "5.8S ribosomal RNA". The record is from RNAcentral. Lineage: Eukaryota; Fungi; Basidiomycota; Agaricomycetes; Agaricales; Marasmiaceae.
GCGGAAGGAUCAUUAUUGAAAUCUGUAGUUGAGCUGGCUUCUAACGAGGCAUGUGCUUGCUACUAACCUUCAUCCACCUGUGCACAUUUUGUAGGAAAGACAGGAUUCUUUUCCAAGUAAAGAGGAACUUAUGGCUCACGCCGUUAUUCUUUUGAAACGAAAGGUCUUCUUCUAUCCUAUGUUUUUACACACACAAAUUGAAUGUUUAGAAUGUCUACUUUCGAAAGAGCGUAAAAACUCUUUUAAAAAACAUAAUACAACUUUCAGCAACGGAUCUCUUGGCUCUCGCAUCGAUGAAGAACGCASCGAAAUGCGAUAAGUAAUGUGAAUUGCAGAAUUCAGUGAAUCAUCGAAUCUUUGAACGCACCUUGCGCCUCUUGGUAUUCCGAGAGGCAUGCCUGUUUGAGUGUCAUUAAAUUCUCAACUUCUAUAGUUUUAUUACUAUUGAAGCUUGGAUGUGGAGGUUUUUUGCUGGCUUUUAUUAGUUGGCUCCUCUUAAAUGUAUUAGUGGAGACUGUUUGUGGUCCACAAUUAGUGUGAUAAUUAUCUACGCUACUUAUGGUUCUGCACACUUUGUAGUGUUUCGAUUGGGAAGUUGCAUAAAUUUUUAUGCUCUUUCUGCUUCAAAUGAACCUACUUAUGAGUGAAGUCGUUCUGCUUCUAACCGUCUUCUUUGCAAGACAAUUUCUUGACUUUWUGACCUCAAA